Molecule: ribosomal RNA, 264 nt
Filed under: uncultured archaeon
Lineage: Archaea
Description: partial 16S ribosomal RNA
Rfam family: Archaeal small subunit ribosomal RNA
Source: RNAcentral
CAGCCCUAAACCGAUGCGCGUUAGGUGUAUCGGUGACCACGAGUCACCGAGGUGCCGAAGGGAAACCGUGAAACGUGCCGCCUGGGAAGUACGGUCGCAAGGCUGAAACUUAAAGGAAUUGGCGGGGGAGGCACCACAACGGGUGGAGCCUGCGGUUUAAUUUGGACUCAACGCCGGGAAGCUCACCGGAUAAGACAGCGGAAUGAUUGCCGGGCUGAAGACCCUGCAUGACCAGCUGAGAGGAGGUGCAUGGCGUAGACGUCU